CCAAUAGCGUAUAUUAAAGUUGUUGCAGUUAAAAAGCUCGUAGUUGAAUUUCGAGAUCAAUAUGUCGGUCGUGCUUAGGUACGUACUGGCAUUAUUGAUUUCUCCUUUCUGAUGAACCAUGAUGCCAUUAAUUUGGUGUUAUGGGGAAUCAGGACUGUUACCUUGAAAAAAUUAGAGUGUUUAAAGCAGGCUCACGCUUGAAUACAUUCGCAUGGAAUAAUGAAAUAGGACGUUUGAUUCUAUUUUGUUGGUUUCUAGGAUCGACGUAAUGAUUAAUAGGGAUAGUUGGGGGCAUUAGUAAGCAAUUGUCAGAGUUGAAAUUCUUGGAUUUAUUGAAGACUAACUACUGCGAAAGCAUUUUCCAAGGAUGUUGUCAUUAAUCAAGAACGAAAGUUAGGGGAUCGAAGACGAUCAGAUACCGUCGUAGUCUUAACCAUAAACUAUGCCGACUAGGGAUCGGAUGAUGUUAAUUUUUUAAUGACUCAUUCGGCGCCUUACG
Molecule: ribosomal RNA, 499 nt
Filed under: uncultured Glomeromycotina
Lineage: Eukaryota; Fungi; Glomeromycota
Description: partial small subunit ribosomal RNA
Rfam family: Eukaryotic small subunit ribosomal RNA
Source: RNAcentral